This 541-nucleotide ribosomal RNA is filed under the name Bifidobacterium bifidum. RNAcentral describes it as "bacterial SSU rRNA". It matches the Rfam family "Bacterial small subunit ribosomal RNA", at positions 159 to 711 of the family's 1533-position model. Lineage: Bacteria; Bacillati; Actinomycetota; Actinomycetes; Bifidobacteriales; Bifidobacteriaceae. The record is from RNAcentral.
GGUGGUAAUGCCGGAUGUUCCACAUGAUCGCAUGUGAUUGUGGGAAAGAUUUCAUCGGCGUGGGAUGGGGUCGCGUCCUAUCAGCUUGUUGGUGAGGUAACGGCUCACCAAGGCUUCGACGGGUAGCCGGCCUGAGAGGGCGACCGGCCACAUUGGGACUGAGAUACGGCCCAGACUCCUACGGGAGGCAGCAGUGGGGAAUAUUGCACAAUGGGCGCAAGCCUGAUGCAGCGACGCCGCGUGAGGGAUGGAGGCCUUCGGGUUGUAAACCUCUUUUGUUUGGGAGCAAGCCUUCGGGUGAGUGUACCUUUCGAAUAAGCGCCGGCUAACUACGUGCCAGCAGCCGCGGUAAUACGUAGGGCGCAAGCGUUAUCCGGAUUUAUUGGGCGUAAAGGGCUCGUAGGCGGCUCGUCGCGUCCGGUGUGAAAGUCCAUCGCUUAACGGUGGAUCUGCGCCGGGUACGGGCGGGCUGGAGUGCGGUAGGGGAGACUGGAAUUCCCGGUGUAACGGUGGAAUGUGUAGAUAUCGGGAAAGAACACCA